ACGAGGCUGAAUCCAGCUUCUUAUUCGCAGCUUCUUAUUGACGCUAUGCGGUCCACCUUAAAAACCGCGACGCUUCCGUUUUUCAGCUUCUUAUUCGCGCUCAUCUUAGGGACCGUGUUUAUUUAUGUUUCUUUUUGAAAAAUGAAAAAUGCUAAAUGAAACUGAUAUAAGAUAGAAAACGGGCUGCAAGCAUGAAAUCUAAUUGCAUCAUUGAUUAAUUAUUGACAGUGCCAUCGUUUGAGUACAAUAUAUUUUUGUUUUUUUCCAGAAAGUCCUUUAUGAAGACUUCACAUGACCCACCUAUGAAUAGACAGUGCCUGCCUCAGCAAGGAUUUCAGAUACAAAAUAAUUGGUCUAUUAAUUCAAGUUGUAAAAGUUAAUGCAUAUGUUUUAUCUGCAAAUACUACAAUUUGUAUUAGAUUUUAGUAGCUUUUUCUGACACCCACGCCUGUAAAUACAAUUCAAGUUUUGUUAAACCUAUUGUUUCAAAGAACAGACAAAGCAACUUUUUAUACACCUUUUUAUACAUCUUAUACAAAUAAAUGUGAAUUGAACUGUUGCAUAAUUGAAUACUGUACCAUGUUCUCUCUAAUAUUACACAACAGGUUAAUAGUAUACGUCUAUACACGCGUCUGCAUAUGUAUAAAUAUGUAUAAUUCUUUCCCAUUGAGAAGACAGACCAAAAAACGGUCAAAAGACAGUCAUUUCAAUAAAUGCCCAGUUGGAGGUGCUAUAUGCCAA
This 741-nucleotide long non-coding RNA is filed under the name Danio rerio (zebrafish). Its description in RNAcentral is "lncRNA si:ch73-104f13.3 (ENSDARG00000100154.2)". Lineage: Eukaryota; Metazoa; Chordata; Actinopteri; Cypriniformes; Danionidae. The record is from RNAcentral.